This 468-nucleotide ribosomal RNA is filed under the name uncultured bacterium. Its description in RNAcentral is "partial 16S ribosomal RNA". It matches the Rfam family "Bacterial small subunit ribosomal RNA", at positions 28 to 507 of the family's 1533-position model. The record is from RNAcentral.
GACGAACGCUGGCGGCGUGCUUAACACAUGCAAGUCGAACAGAAAGGCCCUGCUUUUGUGGGGUGCUCGAGUGGCGAACGGGUGAGUAACACGUGAGUAACCUGCCCUUGACUUUGGGAUAACUUCGGGAAACUGGGGCUAAUACCGGAUAGGAGCUCCUGCUGCAUGGUGGGGGUUGGAAAGUUUCGGCGGUUGGGGAUGGACUCGCGGCUUAUCAGCUUGUUGGUGGGGUAGUGGCUUACCAAGGCUUUGACGGGUAGCCGGCCUGAGAGGGUGACCGGCCACAUUGGGACUGAGAUACGGCCCAGACUCCUACGGGAGGCAGCAGUGGGGAAUAUUGCACAAUGGGCGGAAGCCUGAUGCAGCAACGCCGCGUGCGGGAUGACGGCCUUCGGGUUGUAAACCGCUUUCGCCUGUGACGAAGCGUGAGUGACGGUAAUGGGUAAAGAAGCACCGGCUAACUACGUG